This 2905-nucleotide ribosomal RNA is filed under the name Staphylococcus aureus. RNAcentral describes it as "partial 23S ribosomal RNA". It matches the Rfam family "Bacterial large subunit ribosomal RNA". Lineage: Bacteria; Bacillati; Bacillota; Bacilli; Caryophanales; Staphylococcaceae. The record is from RNAcentral.
GCACGGUGGAUGCCUUGGCACUAGAAGCCGAUGAAGGACGUUACUAACGACGAUAUGCUUUGGGGAGCUGUAAGUAAGCUUUGAUCCAGAGAUUUCCGAAUGGGGAAACCCAGCAUGAGUUAUGUCAUGUUAUCGAUAUGUGAAUACAUAGCAUAUCAGAAGGCACACCCGGAGAACUGAAACAUCUUAGUACCCGGAGGAAGAGAAAGAAAAUUCGAUUCCCUUAGUAGCGGCGAGCGAAACGGGAAGAGCCCAAACCAACAAGCUUGCUUGUUGGGGUUGUAGGACACUCUAUACGGAGUUACAAAGGACGACAUUAGACGAAUCAUCUGGAAAGAUGAAUCAAAGAAGGUAAUAAUCCUGUAGUCGAAAAUGUUGUCUCUCUUGAGUGGAUCCUGAGUACGACGGAGCACGUGAAAUUCCGUCGGAAUCUGGGAGGACCAUCUCCUAAGGCUAAAUACUCUCUAGUGACCGAUAGUGAACCAGUACCGUGAGGGAAAGGUGAAAAGCACCCCGGAAGGGGAGUGAAAUAGAACCUGAAACCGUGUGCUUACAAGUAGUCAGAGCCCGUUAAUGGGUGAUGGCGUGCCUUUUGUAGAAUGAACCGGCGAGUUACGAUUUGAUGCAAGGUUAAGCAGUAAAUGUGGAGCCGUAGCGAAAGCGAGUCUGAAUAGGGCGUUUAGUAUUUGGUCGUAGACCCGAAACCAGGUGAUCUACCCUUGGUCAGGUUGAAGUUCAGGUAACACUGAAUGGAGGACCGAACCGACUUACGUUGAAAAGUGAGCGGAUGAACUGAGGGUAGCGGAGAAAUUCCAAUCGAACCUGGAGAUAGCUGGUUCUCUCCGAAAUAGCUUUAGGGCUAGCCUCAAGUGAUGAUUAUUGGAGGUAGAGCACUGUUUGGACGAGGGGCCCCUCUCGGGUUACCGAAUUCAGACAAACUCCGAAUGCCAAUUAAUUUAACUUGGGAGUCAGAACAUGGGUGAUAAGGUCCGUGUUCGAAAGGGAAACAGCCCAGACCACCAGCUAAGGUCCCAAAAUAUAUGUUAAGUGGAAAAGGAUGUGGCGUUGCCCAGACAACUAGGAUGUUGGCUUAGAAGCAGCCAUCAUUUAAAGAGUGCGUAAUAGCUCACUAGUCGAGUGACACUGCGCCGAAAAUGUACCGGGGCUAAACAUAUUACCGAAGCUGUGGAUUGUCCUUUGGACAAUGGUAGGAGAGCGUUCUAAGGGCGUUGAAGCAUGAUCGUAAGGACAUGUGGAGCGCUUAGAAGUGAGAAUGCCGGUGUGAGUAGCGAAAGACGGGUGAGAAUCCCGUCCACCGAUUGACUAAGGUUUCCAGAGGAAGGCUCGUCCGCUCUGGGUUAGUCGGGUCCUAAGCUGAGGCCGACAGGCGUAGGCGAUGGAUAACAGGUUGAUAUUCCUGUACCACCUAUAAUCGUUUUAAUCGAUGGGGGGACGCAGUAGGAUAGGCGAAGCGUGCGAUUGGAUUGCACGUCUAAGCAGUAAGGCUGAGUAUUAGGCAAAUCCGGUACUCGUUAAGGCUGAGCUGUGAUGGGGAGAAGACAUUGAGUCUUCGAGUCGUUGAUUUCACACUGCCGAGAAAAGCCUCUAGAUAGAAAAUAGGUGCCCGUACCGCAAACCGACACAGGUAGUCAAGAUGAGAAUUCUAAGGUGAGCGAGCGAACUCUCGUUAAGGAACUCGGCAAAAUGACCCCGUAACUUCGGGAGAAGGGGUGCUCUUUAGGGUUAACGCCCAGAAGAGCCGCAGUGAAUAGGCCCAAGCGACUGUUUAUCAAAAACACAGGUCUCUGCUAAACCGUAAGGUGAUGUAUAGGGGCUGACGCCUGCCCGGUGCUGGAAGGUUAAGAGGAGUGGUUAGCUUCUGCGAAGCUACGAAUCGAAGCCCCAGUAAACGGCGGCCGUAACUAUAACGGUCCUAAGGUAGCGAAAUUCCUUGUCGGGUAAGUUCCGACCCGCACGAAAGGCGUAACGAUUUGGGCACUGUCUCAACGAGAGACUCGGUGAAAUCAUAGUACCUGUGAAGAUGCAGGUUACCCGCGACAGGACGGAAAGACCCCGUGGAGCUUUACUGUAGCCUGAUAUUGAAAUUCGGCACAGCUUGUACAGGAUAGGUAGGAGCCUUUGAAACGUGAGCGCUAGCUUACGUGGAGGCGCUGGUGGGAUACUACCCUAGCUGUGUUGGCUUUCUAACCCGCACCACUUAUCGUGGUGGGAGACAGUGUCAGGCGGGCAGUUUGACUGGGGCGGUCGCCUCCUAAAAGGUAACGGAGGCGCUCAAAGGUUCCCUCAGAAUGGUUGGAAAUCAUUCAUAGAGUGUAAAGGCAUAAGGGAGCUUGACUGCGAGACCUACAAGUCGAGCAGGGUCGAAAGACGGACUUAGUGAUCCGGUGGUUCCGCAUGGAAGGGCCAUCGCUCAACGGAUAAAAGCUACCCCGGGGAUAACAGGCUUAUCUCCCCCAAGAGUUCACAUCGACGGGGAGGUUUGGCACCUCGAUGUCGGCUCAUCGCAUCCUGGGGCUGUAGUCGGUCCCAAGGGUUGGGCUGUUCGCCCAUUAAAGCGGUACGCGAGCUGGGUUCAGAACGUCGUGAGACAGUUCGGUCCCUAUCCGUCGUGGGCGUAGGAAAUUUGAGAGGAGCUGUCCUUAGUACGAGAGGACCGGGAUGGACAUACCUCUGGUGUACCAGUUGUCGUGCCAACGGCAUAGCUGGGUAGCUAUGUGUGGACGGGAUAAGUGCUGAAAGCAUCUAAGCAUGAAGCCCCCCUCAAGAUGAGAUUUCCCAACUUCGGUUAUAAGAUCCCUCAAAGAUGAUGAGGUUAAUAGGUUCGAGGUGGAAGCAUGGUGACAUGUGGAGCUGACGAAUACUAAUCGAUCGAAGACUUAAUCAA